Non-coding RNA from Cinara cedri, 280 nucleotides. The record is from the annotation of a GenBank genome assembly. Lineage: Eukaryota; Metazoa; Arthropoda; Insecta; Hemiptera; Aphididae.
GUGCGUUUUCGUGAAAUUCGUUAACGGAUAUUAUAGUACGAUAUUAAAAUGUACGCUAAUCACAGUGACUAUAUAAUCGAAACACGAAUCGCAAUUUUAUUUCAUUUUUCCCGAAUCCGUCAACAAACAUUGACAGACAUCAAUAAUACACCUUGCGGGUACUAACAAUGAAUUUCGGGAGUUACGCAUUGCUGCUAUACAAACAUGGCAAUGAACAAAUUAUAGAAUUUUUAACACCGAUCGAAAACUCGUAUUUCAUUGUCCCGGGAAGUUUGAGAAA